CUAAUUUUGAUGCCGAUAAGCUGACUUGGGAAAGUCCCACUAAGGUUUUCAUCUAAAGAAAACCCUGCUUUAAUGUUACAAAAGAGAUACCCAUCUUCCAAACCAUCAGAAGAAAAUGAGUGCCUCCUCCAUCAUUUGUUGUCUGAUUCACAGACCCGAGUACAACCAGAAAACUGGGAAACAAACCAACUCUUUCCACAGAAAAUGGUGCACUGUAAACUAGGCUGAACACUGAUCCAGUUUUCCUUUACCCAGACAGAAUCUGCUCCUGGAAUAGAACAUGUAUUACUUGUGAUAUCCACGCCUCUCAGCAUAAAUGUACCUCUGGCAGACCCAUGCCUUACUCCUUGCCAAAUGGAAUGCGUGGAAUUUGCCUCUGACCUGUUACAGCUAGACGAUGUAGAUUGUUGGGAACACCAAAGGGAACAACACUGUUGCCAUCUCAAAGAUGAUCUCCUACUGCGUAACCUACAGAAGAGAAAAGACACCACUUGGACUAUGGCUGGAGGCUAGACAGCAUCAGCAUUGGAUGGAGAACAGCUGGAGUCCAGUGGAUCUCAGCCAUAGAUGCUCAGGAAGCACCUGGAGAGAGACCUCGCAACCCCUGACCCCAGUGAUGCCACUCCCACCCCCUAGAGAAGACUUAACAAGAAGCAAGAGGCUUGGUGAAUGCUCCUUGAUACAGCCGUCAGCAGUCAGCCAAAAAAAUUCUACAGAGAGACCUAUCAGCUGUAAGGAGAUUCAAACGUCAAGGAGCAAGGAUAGAAGCUGGGAAAUCCAUCAGCAGACCAUUGCAAAAGUUCAGACAAAAAAAGAAUGGUGGAUGAGUUUAAGGUGGCACUAAUGGGGGUAAGGAAAAUCCAUGGGAAAUGUUGUCGCAUUGAUGAUAUUGCAAACAGAAUUUGCUGAUGAACUGAAUAUGUUAAGGAGAUGAGUCAAAGAGGAUGUCAAGGAUUUUGGCCGGACGUCUUUGAAGAAUGCAUUUGUUUCUUAUUGAGAUUCAGAAGUUUGAGGGAGAAGCAGCUAUGGAAGAAAUUAGGAGCUAAGGUUUGGAAAUAUUAAUUUUGAGUUACGUAAGUAUCCAAACAGAGAUGUGCAGCAGGCAGUUGGAUACAACAUUCAAAACUGGGGCCCAGAAGAGGAGUCAGAACUGGAGACAAGAUGUGUGAUUAGCAGGCUGUAGAUAGUGUUUAAAGCCAUUGGAUUAAAU
Molecule: long non-coding RNA, 1210 nt
Filed under: Equus caballus (horse)
Lineage: Eukaryota; Metazoa; Chordata; Mammalia; Perissodactyla; Equidae
Description: lncRNA (ENSECAG00000033375.3)
Source: RNAcentral